GAUAUAAAGCAACCAACACUUUUGCAACUGCUUGACUCUCCCUUUGCAAUCGGUCCCAAGAUGAAGGCGAUUCUGGGACUUCUCUUUGCCGUCUUCUUCGUGCUCUCCAGCACCAGGACCCGCAGGAGCCGUGGUGUAACUGCGCCGCCUUCGUCUCCUACGAGCAUUCGGAGAUCAAGGUGUAUCAGGGGAGCGGAUCAACCUCAGCCACUGCGACUACACGAACAGGUGUCAAGAGGAGUGCGUCACACAGCUUCGUAACCUAACCAACAGCGGCGACUUGUUCUUCGAUGCGGGCGGCCAAACGGUCGGUCAGCAUAUCUGCAAUAAUCUGCAAGAUAUUGGCUUCGUCGUUAUGCAAAACAAAUACGUAUACGGGUAUUUCGAGGUGUGUGGCGGUGCCUGGCAAUACGCUGACUUGAUGAGUCAGCAGAAACUUUGCUGCUCUAUGGGCGAACACAAACACUGUAUUGAUUAAUGUAUAUAUAUAUAUAUAUAUAUAUAUAUAUAUAUAUAUAUAUAUAUAUAUAUAUAUAUAUAUAUAUCCUAUUGAUAAUAAAUGAAAAAAUUAUGCGAUUGUCAUAGAAAAUUGGAUAGGAAUUGGUUGUUUGCUUGUAAUGAUGAUAUAGGUGUAUCACUUGUAACUAUAAUAUUACCGUACUUUUCUUCAAUGAGGUAGUUAUUAGAAUACAGGAAAUCACGCUAGUAUUGAUUGUAGUAUGAGACAUAUAUAAUUGCACUCGUAUGAUAAUAAUUCUUGCAAAAUGUGAAUUAUUCACCUUUUUACAAAUUUUGUAUCUGCAGGCACUGUAAUAAAUCAUUUUUUUUUUAUA
Molecule: non-coding RNA, 833 nt
Organism: Penaeus vannamei (Pacific white shrimp)
Lineage: Eukaryota; Metazoa; Arthropoda; Malacostraca; Decapoda; Penaeidae
Source: RefSeq, a predicted model, not a curated record